This 1522-nucleotide ribosomal RNA is filed under the name Acanthamoeba sp. ATCC 50494. Its description in RNAcentral is "bacterial SSU rRNA". It matches the Rfam family "Bacterial small subunit ribosomal RNA". Lineage: Eukaryota; Discosea; Longamoebia; Acanthamoebidae. The record is from RNAcentral.
UUUAUAAAAACAUUUGUUGGGUUUUAUUCUGGCUCCGAGUGAACGCUGGUAACAUAUUUUAACACAUGCAAAUCGAACGGAAGUUUUUACUUCAGUGGUGACCUGGUGAGUAAUGUAAGAGAAGUGAAGUACAGAUAAGGUUAAAUUCCUCACUUCACAUUUAGUGGAAGAUUUAUAUCGUCUGUAAUAGAGCUUUUAUAGGAUUAGGUAGUUGUUAUAGUAAUUAUUUAACAAGCCGACGAUGCUUAGCUGGUUUGAGAGAAUGAUCAGCCACAUUGGGACUGAAAACGGCCCAAGUCUUCUAAAAGGGCAGCAGUGGAGAAUAUUUGACAAUGGGCGAAAGCUUGAUCGAGUAAUGUUACGUGGGUGAUCAGAAGGCUUAAUUGCUGUAAAACUCGUUUCGUCAAGGAUUAUAAUGCAAUCGUACUUGAAGGAGAAGCCCUGACUAACUUCGUGCCAGCAGUCGCGGUAAUACGGAGAGGGCUAGUGUUAUUCGCAUUGACUGGGUGUAAAGGGCGCGUAGGUGGCUCGUUAAGUUUCAAAGCAAAUAUUAAACAUAGCGUUUAAAAACUUUUUAAUACUAACGGGCUAGAGUUUAUUAGAAGGUAGCUGAACAUUAAGUGUAAAGGUGAAAUUUUCCGAUAUUUAAAGGGCAUGCAAUAGGCGAAGGCUGCUACCUAUUUUAAUACUGACACUGAGGCGCAAAAGCAUAGGUAUCAAACAGGAUUAGAGACCCUGGUAGUCUAUGCCCUGACCGAUGAAUAUUAAUUACGUUUUUGAAAAAUGUGAUUUAGCUAACGCGUAAAUAUUCCACCUGAGUACUACGACCGCAAGGUUAAAACUCAAAGAAACUGACGGAAGAUUGUAUAAGCGGUGGAGUAUGUGGUUUAAUUUGAUAUAACGCAAAGAAUCUUACCAACCCUUGAAUACAAGUAGAUAUUUUUCAGUAUUCCGGCAACGGGAUGACUGGCGUAUUUGUAGGUUUUUUUUUAUUUAAUAAAAAAAAAAAAUACAGACUUGUACAGGUGCUGCAUGGUUGUCGGCAGUCCGUGUUGUGAAAUGUUUUGUUAAUUCAUUUAACGGACGUAACCUUCAGUUAUAUUUGUUUAAAAAAUAUAGCAAUAUUAAUUUUCUAAAAUUAAUUGAGAGAAGAGGAAGUCAAAUCAUUAUGGCCUAUAUAGGUUGGGCUACACACGUACUACAAUGGUAAUCACAAUGUGAAGCAUUGGUGUAAGCCGAAGCGAAUCAUUAAAAAUUUAUCUUAGUUCAGAUUACUCUCUGUAAGUCGAGAGUAUGAAGUCGGAAUCGCUAGUAAUCGCAGAAUAGAAUGCUGCGGUGAAUACAUUCUCAAUCUUUGUACACACCGCCCGUCACGCCAUGGGAAUUGGUUUGGUUUGAAGUUUUAUAGGUCCAAUAUUUGUUACUUUUUAAUUCUUUUUAAAUUUAGCAGUAUUGGUUACUAAUUACGACAACUAGAUUAAGGACUGGGGUGAAGUCGUAACAAGGUAGCGGUAGGGGAACC